GAGUUUGAUCCUGGCUCAGGAUGAACGCUAGCUACAGGCUUAACACAUGCAAGUCGAGGGGCAUCAGGAAGAAAGCUUGCUUUCUUUGCUGGCGACCGGCGCACGGGUGAGUAACACGUAUCCAACCUGCCCUUUACUCGGGGAUAGCCUUUCGAAAGAAAGAUUAAUACCCGAUAGCAUAAUGAUUCCGCAUGGUUUCAUUAUUAAAGGAUUCCGGUAAAGGAUGGGGAUGCGUUCCAUUAGGUUGUUGGUGGGGUAGCGGCCCACCAAGCCUUCGAUGGAUAGGGGUUCUGAGAGGAAGGUCCCCCACAUUGGAACUGAGACACGGUCCAAACUCCUACGGGAGGCAGCAGUGAGGAAUAUUGGUCAAUGGGCGCUAGCCUGAACCAGCCAAGUAGCGUGAAGGAUGAAGGCUCUAUGGGUCGUAAACUUCUUUUAUAUAAGAAUAAAGUGCAGUAUGUAUACUGUUUUGUAUGUAUUAUAUGAAUAAGGAUCGGCUAACUCCGUGCCAGCAGCCGCGGUAAUACGGAGGAUCCGAGCGUUAUCCGGAUUUAUUGGGUUUAAAGGGAGCGUAGGUGGACUGGUAAGUCAGUUGUGAAAGUUUGCGGCUCAACCGUAAAAUUGCAGUUGAUACUGUCAGUCUUGAGUACAGUAGAGGUGGGCGGAAUUCGUGGUGUAGCGGUGAAAUGCUUAGAUAUCACGAAGAACUCCGAUUGCGAAGGCAGCUCACUGGACUGCAACUGACACUGAUGCUCGAAAGUGUGGGUAUCAAACAGGAUUAGAUACCCUGGUAGUCCACACAGUAAACGAUGAAUACUCGCUGUUUGCGAUAUACAGUAAGCGGCCAAGCGAAAGCAUUAAGUAUUCCACCUGGGGAGUACGCCGGCAACGGUGAAACUCAAAGGAAUUGACGGGGGCCCGCACAAGCGGAGGAACAUGUGGUUUAAUUCGAUGAUACGCGAGGAACCUUACCCGGGCUUAAAUUGCAGUGGAAUGAUGUGGAAACAUGUCAGUGAGCAAUCACCGCUGUGAAGGUGCUGCAUGGUUGUCGUCAGCUCGUGCCGUGAGGUGUCGGCUUAAGUGCCAUAACGAGCGCAACCCUUAUCUUCAGUUACUAACAGGUUAUGCUGAGGACUCUGGAGAGACUGCCGUCGUAAGAUGUGAGGAAGGUGGGGAUGACGUCAAAUCAGCACGGCCCUUACGUCCGGGGCUACACACGUGUUACAAUGGGGGGGACAGAAGGCAGCUAGCGGGUGACCGUAUGCUAAUCCCAAAAGCCUCUCUCAGUUCGGAUCGAAGUCUGCAACCCGACUUCGUGAAGCUGGAUUCGCUAGUAAUCGCGCAUCAGCCACGGCGCGGUGAAUACGUUCCCGGGCCUUGUACACACCGCCCGUCAAGCCAUGGGAGCCGGGGGUACCUGAAGUACGUAACCGCAAGGAUCGUCCUAGGGUAAAACUGGUGACUGGGGCUAAGUCGUAACAAGGUAGCCGUACCGGAAGGUGCGGCUGG
This 1509-nucleotide ribosomal RNA is filed under the name Bacteroides fragilis str. Ds-233. RNAcentral describes it as "bacterial SSU rRNA". It matches the Rfam family "Bacterial small subunit ribosomal RNA". The record is from RNAcentral. Lineage: Bacteria; Pseudomonadati; Bacteroidota; Bacteroidia; Bacteroidales; Bacteroidaceae.